This 424-nucleotide ribosomal RNA is filed under the name uncultured Planctomyces sp. Its description in RNAcentral is "partial 16S ribosomal RNA". It matches the Rfam family "Bacterial small subunit ribosomal RNA", at positions 355 to 774 of the family's 1533-position model. Lineage: Bacteria; Pseudomonadati; Planctomycetota; Planctomycetia; Planctomycetales; Planctomycetaceae. The record is from RNAcentral.
UCGAGAAUCUUCGGCAAUGGGCGAAAGCCUGACCGAGCGACGCCGCGUGUGGGAUGAAGGCCCUUGGGUUGUAAACCACUGUCAGAGGGGAUGAAGUGCAUGUGAGUUAUCUCAUGUGUUUGACAUAGCCUCAGAGGAAGCACGGGCUAAGUUCGUGCCAGCAGCCGCGGUAAUACGAACUGUGCAAACGUUAUUCGGAAUCACUGGGCUUACAGGGUGCGUAGGCGGCUUGUUAAGCAGGGUGUGAAAUCCCUCGGCUCAACCGAGGAAUUGCGCCCUGAACUGGCGAGCUGGAGUGGGACAGAGGUGCGCGGAACUUCCAGUGGAGCGGUGAAAUGUGUUGAUAUUGGAAGGAACGCCGGAGGCGAAAGCGGCGCACUGGGUCUUAACUGACGCUGAGGCACGAAAGCCAGGGGAGCAAACG